AAUAAACGCUGGCGGCGUGCCUAACACAUGCAAGUCGAGCGAGAAAGGUCUUCGGACUUAGUACAGCGGCGGACGGGUGAGUAACGCGUGAGAAUCUGCCCUUCAGUGAGGAAUACCUCCGAGAAAUCGGGGUUAAUACUGCAUACGUUCCGAAAGGAAGAAAGAUGGCCUCUUUGCUAUCGCUGAAGGAUGAGCUUGCGUACUAUUAGCUAGUUGGUGAGGUAAAGGCUCACCAAGGCAGAGAUGGUUAGCCGGCCUGAGAGGGUGUACGGCCACAUUGGAACUGAGACACGGUCCAGACACCUACGGGUGGCAG
This 316-nucleotide ribosomal RNA is filed under the name uncultured bacterium. Its description in RNAcentral is "bacterial SSU rRNA". It matches the Rfam family "Bacterial small subunit ribosomal RNA", at positions 29 to 351 of the family's 1533-position model. The record is from RNAcentral.